This 106-nucleotide unclassified non-coding RNA is filed under the name Flavobacterium hercynium. RNAcentral's name for it is "Flavo-1 RNA". The record is from RNAcentral. Lineage: Bacteria; Pseudomonadati; Bacteroidota; Flavobacteriia; Flavobacteriales; Flavobacteriaceae.
AGUUUGCGUGAGGGGUAGAAACGGCAUCCUUUUGUGACAAAAUGAAACGCCUUAUUUUACUCUGAAUUUUAUGGAACAAAAGAUAUAGUGGAUGACCCGACCCUGU